CAUGGAUGGAGAGUAUGAGGAGACCAGGAGAUCACAAAACUCAAAUUUUCCAAAUCUCAUGAUGAAUGUUAUCGACAAUUUCCUGAAUGACGGUGACAACAGCAUGAGAGAGCUAGCCGACCUUCUGAGUGCAAGGAGCGUGAAUUAUACUAAAGUCACUACUGCUGCUCAUCUGAUCAAAGGAGGUGGCAGCAGCCUUGGUGGCUGCCGGGUUGUUGCAGCAGCUCGUGCUCUUAUAACUGCCAGCCUUAAUCGGGACAAGCAAAG
Molecule: long non-coding RNA, 267 nt
Organism: Eucalyptus grandis
Lineage: Eukaryota; Viridiplantae; Streptophyta; Magnoliopsida; Myrtales; Myrtaceae
Exons: 3
Source: RefSeq, a predicted model, not a curated record